This 768-nucleotide ribosomal RNA is filed under the name Ulva sp. CAL/ALG./030. RNAcentral's name for it is "eukaryotic LSU rRNA". The stretch from base 1 to 236 matches the Rfam family "Eukaryotic small subunit ribosomal RNA", at positions 1598 to 1831 of the family's 1831-position model. Lineage: Eukaryota; Viridiplantae; Chlorophyta; Ulvophyceae; Ulvales; Ulvaceae. The record is from RNAcentral.
CUUCAACGAGGAAUGCCUAGUAAGCGCGAGUCAUCAUCUCGCGUUGAUUACGUCCCUGCCCUUUGUACACACCGCCCGUCGCUCCUACCGAUUGAACGUGCUGGUGAAGCGUUAGGACUGGAGCUCUGGGCCGGUUCUCCUGCCCAUUGCUUCGGGAAUUUCGUUGAACCCUCCCGUUUAGAGGAAGGAGAAGUCGUAACAAGGUCUCCGUAGGUGAACCUGCGGAGGGAUCAUUGAAACCGAUCAAACCAACCACAGAGCACCUGCGGGCGCUCCCCGUCGCCGGGCGCCAGCCCGGGGACCCGGGGGGGCCCGCCGUUUUUCUCGGAUCCGCCGGCGCCCCCCUUCGCGGGGGGGGGCCGGUUCGGACCCCAAACCCAUUGAACCCUCUGCCCUGAAGCAGCUUCGCACGGGGACACCCCUGCGACGUUAACUGAGACAACUCUCAACAACGGAUAUCUUGGCUCUCGCAACGAUGAAGAACGCAGCGAAAUGCGAUACGUAGUGUGAAUUGCAGAAUUCCGUGAGUCAUCGAAUCUUUGAACGCACAUUGCCGGUCGACUCUUCGGAGGAGACCACAUCUGCCUCAGCGUCGGGAUACCCCCUCACGCGCCUGCGCGUGGAACUGGCCCCCCCGGUCUCCCCAGGCCGGGCCGGCUGAAAUGCAGAGGUCCGUGCGCGGCCCACAUGUGGCCCCGACUAGGUAGGUAGCUCGCUACUUCUAGGCGGCGGCUCGGUGCCGCGGACUCUGGGCCGCAAAGGAUACCC